Molecule: ribosomal RNA, 497 nt
Filed under: uncultured bacterium
Lineage: Bacteria
Description: partial 16S ribosomal RNA
Rfam family: Bacterial small subunit ribosomal RNA
Source: RNAcentral
GAUGAACGCUGGCGGCGUGCCUAAUACAUGCAAGUCGAGCGAACGGACGAGAAGCUUGCUUCUCUGAUGUUAGCGGCGGACGGGUGAGUAACACGUGGAUAACCUACCUAUAAGACUGGGAUAACUUCGGGAAACCGGAGCUAAUACCGGAUAAUAUUUUGAACCGCAUGGUUCAAAAGUGAAAGACGGUCUUGCUGUCACUUAUAGAUGUAUCCGCGCUGCAUUAGAUAGUUGGUAAGGUAACGGCUUACCAAGGCAACGAUGCAUAGCCGACCUGAGAGGGUGAUCGGCCACACUGGAACUGAGACACGGUCCAGACUCCUACGGGAGGCAGCAGUAGGGAAUCUUCCGCAAAGGGCGAAAGCCUGACGGAGCAACGCCGCGUGAGUGAUGAAGGUCUUCGGAUCGUAAAACUCUGUUAUGAGGGAAGAACAUAUGUGUAAGUAACUGUGCACAUCUUGACGGUACCUAAUCAGAAAGCCACGGCUAACUACGUG